UACGUAGGGGGCAAGCGUUGUCUGGAUUUAUUGGGCGUAAAGAGCGUGUAGGCGGCCAGGUAGGUCGGUUGUGAAAACUGGAGGCUCAACCUUCAGACGUCGACCGAAACCCCCUGGCUAGAGUCCGGAAGAGGAGAGUGGAAUUCCUGGUGUAGCGGUGAAAUGCGCAGAUAUCAGGAAGAACACCCGUGGCGAAGGCGGCUCUCUGGGACGGUACUGACGCUGAGACGCGAAAGCGUGGGGAGCGAACAGG
This 253-nucleotide ribosomal RNA is filed under the name uncultured bacterium. RNAcentral describes it as "partial 16S ribosomal RNA". It matches the Rfam family "Bacterial small subunit ribosomal RNA", at positions 524 to 776 of the family's 1533-position model. The record is from RNAcentral.